AUUGAACGCUGGCGGCGUGCCUAAUACAUGCAAGUCGAGCGCAGCGGGGACGGGUGAGUAACACGUGGAUAACCUCCUUUAAGACUGGGACAACUUCGGGAAACCGGAGCUAAACCGGAUACUUAUACAUGGAUCCGCGCUGCAUUAGCUAGUUGGUAAGGUAACGGCUUACCAAGGCAACGAUGGCUAGCCGGGCUGAGAGGAUGAGCAGCCACACUGGAACUGAGACACGGUCCAGACUCCUACGGGAGGCAGCAGUGGGGAAUCUUCCGCAAUGGGCGAAAGCCUGACGGAGCAACGCCGCGUGGGUGAAGAAGGUCUUCGGAUCGUAAAGCUCUGUUAUUAGGGAAGCGGUACCUGAACAAGAAGCCACGGCUAACUACGUGCCAGCAGCCGCGGUAAUUC
Molecule: ribosomal RNA, 405 nt
Filed under: uncultured bacterium
Lineage: Bacteria
Description: partial 16S ribosomal RNA
Rfam family: Bacterial small subunit ribosomal RNA
Source: RNAcentral